This 494-nucleotide ribosomal RNA is filed under the name uncultured bacterium. Its description in RNAcentral is "partial 16S ribosomal RNA". It matches the Rfam family "Bacterial small subunit ribosomal RNA", at positions 31 to 507 of the family's 1533-position model. The record is from RNAcentral.
GAACGCUGGCGGCGUGCCUAAUACAUGCAAGUCGAGCGAACGGACGAGAAGCUUGCUUUUCUGAUGUUAGCGGCGGACGGGUGAGUAACACGUGGAUAACCUACCUAUAAGACUGGGAUAACUUCGGGAAACCGGAGCUAAUACCGGAUAAUAUUUUGAACCGCCUGGUUCAAAAGUGAAAGACGGUCUUGCUGUCACUUAUAGAUGGAUCCGCGCUGCAUUAGCUAGUUGGUAAGGUAACGGCUUACCAAGGCAACGAUGCAUAGCCGACCUGAGAGGGUGAUCGGCCACACUGGAACUGAGACACGGUCCAGACUCCUACGGGAGGCAGCAGUAGGGAAUCUUCCGCAAUGGGCGAAAGCCUGACGGAGCAACGCCGCGUGAGUGAUGAAGGUCUUCGGAUCGUAAAACUCUGUUAUUAGGGAAGAACAUAUGUGUAAGUAACUGUGCACAUCUUGACGGUACCUAAUCAGAAAGCCACGGCUAACUACGUG